Molecule: small nuclear RNA, 112 nt
Organism: Neogale vison (American mink)
Lineage: Eukaryota; Metazoa; Chordata; Mammalia; Carnivora; Mustelidae
Source: Ensembl
GUGCUCGCUUCGGCAGCACAUAUACUAAAACUGGAACGAUACAGAGAAGAUUAGCAUGGCCCCUGCGCAUAAAUAUCACAAUAUACCUUAUAUACAAGAGCAACAUGUUUUU